Molecule: long non-coding RNA, 583 nt
Organism: Galeopterus variegatus (Sunda flying lemur)
Lineage: Eukaryota; Metazoa; Chordata; Mammalia; Dermoptera; Cynocephalidae
Exons: 3
Source: RefSeq, a predicted model, not a curated record
GGGGUCCUGAGCAGCAAGGUUGGCAUGGACUACAGAAACUGCAUCCUGAGACCUGGUGGCUCUGAGGAUGCCAGCGCCAUGUUGAAGCUCUUCCUGGGCCGCGACCCCAAGCAGGACGCCUUCCUCCUGAGCAAGGGGCUGCAGGUGGAGGGCUGCGAGCCACAGGCCUGCUGACGGCACCCCAGGGUGCCACGGGGCCCGGCCACGCUGCCUACAUCCAGCCUGGUCCAACCAGGCUCCAGCUGCCCUGGUGCCUUAGUCCGCCGCCCAGAACGGGGCCUCCAGCACAGUGCUGCUCCCUGCGUAGGACACAGCGAGGGACGGGGGCUGUGUCUCCUCCCUUGUCAUCGUUCACAUCCUGUCCCCAAAAACCCCCCAUCUGGAGACCAGCCCAGACUCAAACAGUGUCAUCCUUGAGGUGUCUGGAGAGCUCCCGCGUGUCAUCCUUGAGGUGUCUGGAGAGCUCCCGCGUGCGUCCAGGGUAUUGUCCUUGUUGCACUAACAUGUCCCCUCCCAGGGAAACAGUCCUGGUCACAUGGUGGUCGUUCUUUGAAACGCAGCCAUUAAAAAGUACAGAACACGU